This 303-nucleotide ribosomal RNA is filed under the name Triticum aestivum (bread wheat). RNAcentral describes it as "partial small subunit ribosomal RNA". Lineage: Eukaryota; Viridiplantae; Streptophyta; Magnoliopsida; Poales; Poaceae. The record is from RNAcentral.
AUGCAUACGCUGGAUGCUACUUUAUUACCAACAAAAGCCAAAAGAAGAAGAAGAAGAAAGGAAUACUACUUUAUCCGUUCAGCACUUGGCGUCGUUUCCAGCUAUAAUCUUUGGUUCGUAUCAUUUGAAAUCACUUUGGGAAAACAGCCUUGGCAGGAAAAGAAGUGGAAUGAUGCUGUUUUGGACAACAGUAGAUGCUUUGCCUGGCCUGCAAGGACCAUUGAUGCACAAGCUCCGAAUCUUAUCUCCUUGCUGCUUUCUGCAAAGCAUCAGAUGCUCUCUCUCGUACUCCACGCGACCUAA